UACGUAGGUGGCAAGCGUUGUCCGGAUUUAUUGGGUUUAAAGGGUGCGUAGGCGGCUUUGUAAGUCAGUGGUGAAAUAUGGCAGCUCAACUGUCAGGGUGCCAUUGAUACUGCGGAGCUUGAGUACAGAUGAGGUAGGCGGAAUUGACGGUGUAGCGGUGAAAUGCUUAGAUAUCGUCAAGAACACCGAUAGCGAAGGCAGCUUACUGGGCUGUAACUGACGCUGAGGCACGAAAGUGUGGGGAUCAAGCAGG
RNAcentral lists this ribosomal RNA (253 nucleotides) under uncultured bacterium. RNAcentral's name for it is "partial 16S ribosomal RNA". It matches the Rfam family "Bacterial small subunit ribosomal RNA", at positions 524 to 776 of the family's 1533-position model. The record is from RNAcentral.